GGGCAGCAACAAAUACAUUCAUCAUGGGUGGUUCUCUGUGCUUCUGCUAACAAGAAGUCAAAGCACUUCCUUAUACUCUCUCUUUGCUGAGAUGGAGGCACUAUGUUUGAUUCUUCUAUGCUGCUUCCUGAUACAAUGCUACGGUAGGAGAUUUUUCUUUUACUAAUGAUGUUCAAUUUAUUCUAAAUGUGGAUAUAAAAGUUCCUUGCUCAAUGACAGUACGGAAUAAUAGUAGUUUUAAAUGAUGUGCUAACAGUAUAGGGUUGCAGUACAAAUGUAACCAUGAAUCAAUAACUGUGUUCUUUUUUCUUGAAGGGUCCACUCACUUUCAUUACCUAAAGAAAGGGGAGGAGGUAACACUGUCCUGUGAAACAUGUCAAUGGGAGGCCGAUGUAAAUUCAGACAACAUAGUGGACUGCGGUGUCAUAGACAGUAUUUAUACAACAAACUCAAAAUGCAAAGCUCAAAGACAGGAUCUAUGCCAAGAGAUAAAGAAAAACAAAUCCACCAGUUGUGAAAUCUGUGUAAUGAGGGGAUUCUUUGCCUGUGUCAAUGCUGAAUCUGACUCCUGCUUCAUGCAUCCAUUUAAACCCUCUUCUCAUCAUGUGGAGUCCUUCAUUGUUGCUCAGGCAGAACCAGACAUUGUGUCUGGACCUGUAAUGGAAAACUCAGUGCUUGUGUCUGGAGGAGAAUCAAUUAAUCUGACGUGUGAUUUAAAAACAAAGGGGUAUUAUCCCAAUAAUCCUUUUGUGGUGUACUGGAUCAAGACUGGUGCUCACAGCAGCACAUGAGAUCACACACAUCAAAACCCUCCCUUGAUGAUAACAACAUCCAUAACCUGAAGAUCAGCAAAGCCACUCAGUCAGACCGUGGACAGUAUCUGUGUGUCUUACAGGUGAACACAUAUAGUUAUAACCAGCAUGCUUGGGCAGUAAUAACCAACACCACAGUCAUUGUGGGUAAUCCUG
This is a long non-coding RNA of Clupea harengus (Atlantic herring), 968 nucleotides long. Lineage: Eukaryota; Metazoa; Chordata; Actinopteri; Clupeiformes; Clupeidae. The record is from Ensembl.